Maylandia zebra (zebra mbuna) is the source of this 380-nucleotide non-coding RNA. The record is from RefSeq and is a predicted model, not a curated record. NCBI's taxonomy places the organism in Eukaryota, Metazoa, Chordata, Actinopteri, Cichliformes, Cichlidae.
ACCAGACAGCGGUGUGUACUGGUGUGAGUCUGUCAGUGGGGAGCAGAGCAAUGUGGUCAACAUUACCAUUACUGAUCAGCCUCUGAUUUUGGAGAGUCCUGCCCUUCCUGUGUCCGAGGGAGCCACUGUAACACUGCAUUGUACACCUGAGACAAAGUCCUUCAACCAGUUUUUUGAUUUCUAUAAAGAUGGCCACUGCAUCAAAAGGAACUCCACAGGAGAAAUCACCAUUAAAAGGGUUUCUAAAUCUGAUGAAGGACUCUAUAAAUGCAGCAUUUCAGGAGGUGAAGAAUCACUAGGCAGCUGGCUGGCAGUUGAUGCUUCAUCUCAGGAGUUUCCUUCAUCUACAUCUGCAGCUGAACCGGCCGCUCCCUGCUCUU